This 392-nucleotide ribosomal RNA is filed under the name uncultured bacterium. Its description in RNAcentral is "partial 16S ribosomal RNA". It matches the Rfam family "Bacterial small subunit ribosomal RNA", at positions 338 to 722 of the family's 1533-position model. The record is from RNAcentral.
CCUACGGGAGGCUGCAGUAGGGAAUCUUCCACAAUGGGCGAAAGCCUGAUGGAGCAACGCCGCGUGGGUGAAGAAGGUCUUCGGAUCGUAAAACCCUGUUGUUAGAGAAGAAAGUGCGUGAGCGUAACUGUUCACGUUUCGACGGUAUCUAACCAGAAAGCCACGGCUAACUACGUGCCAGCAGCCGCGGUAAUACGUAGGUGGCAAGCGUUAUCCGGAUUUAUUUGGCGUAAAGGGAACGCAGGCGGUCUUUUAAGUCUGAUGUGAAAGCCUUCGGCUUAACCGGAGUAGUGCAUUGGAAACUGGGAGACUUGAGAGCAGAAGAGGAGAGUGGAACGCCAUGUGUAGCGGUGAAAUGCGUAGAUAGAUGGAAGAAAACUAGUGGCGACGGC